Non-coding RNA from Dermatophagoides farinae (American house dust mite), 1078 nucleotides. NCBI's taxonomy places the organism in Eukaryota, Metazoa, Arthropoda, Arachnida, Sarcoptiformes, Pyroglyphidae. The record is from RefSeq and is a predicted model, not a curated record.
AUCAUCAUCAUCAACAUCAUCUGACAGUUGUUCAAUGUUUUCUUUAUUCUUAUUCAAUUCAUUUGCACGCAAUGUUCAUGAGGAGGUCCAGAGAGAAUGUGAUGAAGAAGAAGAUUGAAGACUGAACUGAACUGAACAACAACAACAACAACUAGAAGAAUGAGAGCAAAGUUUUGCUGUUCAUCAUCGAUGAUGAUGAUUAUUAUUUAUAGAGUUUUUGUUGUUGUUGUUGUUGUUGUUGUCUGGAUUUUGAUCUUCUAAUGUUGUUUCAACAACCAUGAUGAUGUGUUGUGGACAAUCAAUAAAUUGAAGAAUUGAGAAUUGGCAAAUGAGGAUUCUGUUUGGUACACCCUUUCCACUAUGGAAAUAUCGAAUAAAAAAUCAAUUUUUUUUGGCAAAAUUUUUCAAUGAAAAAAAAGAAAGAAAUUCAAGAAGAUAUUUUUCCAUAUGGCCAAACCCGAGACAUUGAGUUUUGAAACCAAAUUCAUUGAAGCUGAUCAUAGUUAACCAUCAACAACAACAACAAAAAAACGAACGAACGAAAGAAAAAAAAUCGUUAGUUCGAAAACUAUUUUGAAGUGAAGAAUUUUCUCAUUUUCACCAUCUUCAUUCAUCAACACCACUAACUAUUAAUGAAUCUAAAUCUUUUAGAGAAAAAAAAGGAAAAAAACAACAACAAUCUUUAUUUGAAACUGAAAACAUUUUGCUCUGAUUUUUUUUAUUUUAUUUCUCCAAAUGCAGCCUGUUUUUUUCAUCCAUUUCACUGUGUAUUCGGCUUCUUCAUCAUCAUCAUCAUCGAAUGGUUUUUUUUUGUUUGAUUCAUUUCCUUGGCCAACCAACCGACCAAUCAACCAAUCGAAAUGUGAAAAAAAAAUUAAGAAAUUGACUUGGCCAAUGAAAGAUCAUCAUCAUCAUCAUCAUCAGGUUGAACCGAACAACAACAAAAAACAGAAGAAAGAAAAAACUCGAUGGACUGACUGACCGAUCGAAAACUAAACACUCUAAACGAUAUUGAAAAAAAAACGAAAGGCAACGCGAUAGGAAAAAAAAUCCGAUAAAUCAUCAAUUUUUUUUCCCA